AGAGUUUGAUCAUGGCUCAGAACGAACGCUGGCGGCAGGCCUAACACAUGCAAGUCGAACGCUCUCGCAAGAGGGAGUGGCGCACGGGUGAGUAACGCGUAGGAAUCUACCCAUUAGCCUGGGAUAACAGUUGGAAACGACUGCUAAUACCGGAUAUGCCCUUCGGGGGAAAGGUUUACUACUAAUGGAUGAGCCUGCGUUAGAUUAGCUAGUUGGUGAGGUAAUGGCUCACCAAGGCUCCGAUCUAUAGCCGGUCUGAGAGGACGAUCGGCCACACUGGGACUGAGACACGGCCCAGACUCCUACGGGAGGCAGCAGUGGGGAAUAUUGGGCAAUGGACGCAAGUCUGACCCAGCCAUGCCGCGUGAGUGAUGAAGGCCUUAGGGUUGUAAAGCUCUUUUAGUGGUGAAGAUGAUGACAGUAACCACAGAAAAAGCCCCGGCUAACUUCGUGCCAGCAGCCGCGGUAAUUC
RNAcentral lists this ribosomal RNA (472 nucleotides) under uncultured bacterium. Its description in RNAcentral is "bacterial SSU rRNA". It matches the Rfam family "Bacterial small subunit ribosomal RNA", at positions 8 to 526 of the family's 1533-position model. The record is from RNAcentral.